This 497-nucleotide ribosomal RNA is filed under the name uncultured bacterium. Its description in RNAcentral is "partial 16S ribosomal RNA". It matches the Rfam family "Bacterial small subunit ribosomal RNA", at positions 28 to 507 of the family's 1533-position model. The record is from RNAcentral.
GAUGAACGCUGGCGGCGUGCCUAAUACAUGCAAGUCGAGCGAACAGACGAGGAGCUUGCUCCUCUGACGUUAGCGGCGGACGGGUGAGUAACACGUGGAUAACCUACCUAUAAUACUGGGAUAACUUCGGGAAACCGGAGCUAAUACCGGAUAAUAUAUUGAACCGCAUGGUUCAAUAGUGAAAGACGGUUUUGCUGUCUCUUAUAGAUGGAUCCGCGCCGCAUUAGCUAGUUGGUAAGGUAACGGCUUACCAAGGCAACGAUGCGUAGCCGACCUGAGAGGGUGAUCGGCCACACUGGAACUGAGACACGGUCCAGACUCCUACGGGAGGCAGCAGUAGGGAAUCUUCCGCAAUGGGCGAAAGCCUGACGGAGCAACGCCGCGUGAGUGAUGAAGGUCUUCGGAUCGUAAAACUCUGUUAUUAGGGAAGAACAAAUGUGUAAGUAACUAUGCACGUCUUGACGGUACCUAAUCAGAAAGCCACGGCUAACUACGUG